GACGAACGCUGGCGGCGUGCCUAAUACAUGCAAGUUGAGCGCUGAAGGUUGGUACUUGUACCGACUGGAUGAGCAGCGAACGGGUGAGUAACGCGUGGGGAAUCUGCCUUUGAGCGGGGGACAACAUUUGGAAACGAAUGCUAAUACCGCAUAAAAACUUUAAACACAAGUUUUAAGUUUGAAAGAUGCAAUUGCAUCACUCAAAGAUGAUCCCGCGUUGUAUUAGCUAGUUGGUGAGGUAAAGGCUCACCAAGGCGAUGAUACAUAGCCGACCUGAGAGGGUGAUCGGCCACAUUGGGACUGAGACACGGCCCAAACUCCUACGGGAGGCAGCAGUAGGGAAUCUUCGGCAAUGGACGAAAGUCUGACCGAGCAACGCCGCGUGAGUGAAGAAGGUUGUCGGAUCGGAAAACUCUGUUGGUAGAGAAGAACGUUGGUGAGAGUGGAAAGCCCAUCAAGUGACGGUAACUACCCAGAAAGGGACGGCUAACUACGUG
Molecule: ribosomal RNA, 497 nt
Filed under: uncultured bacterium
Lineage: Bacteria
Description: partial 16S ribosomal RNA
Rfam family: Bacterial small subunit ribosomal RNA
Source: RNAcentral